Long non-coding RNA from Jatropha curcas, 811 nucleotides. RefSeq lists it as uncharacterized. The record is from RefSeq and is a predicted model, not a curated record. Lineage: Eukaryota; Viridiplantae; Streptophyta; Magnoliopsida; Malpighiales; Euphorbiaceae.
ACGACAAACGACGCCGCCUCCAUCUAUCUACCCUAAAUCUGAACUAGAAAAACAACGUCUUGUCCUUCUCUCUAAACCCCAAUUGGAAACGAUCACUCGCACAUUCUUAAAUCCUUAAAAGUAGAGCACCUAUUCUUUCUACUAAUCCAUUCUCUUCAACACAAAUUAUAUACUUGUAAUCUACUCCUAAUUUUUUCUUCAAAUCGAUUGUGUAUCCUCUUUGAACAAAAUCUACAGAUGGCUUCGAUGAAUGGAGUUGAAAUGAGCCAAGCAACAGAAAUAACUGUGAGCUCGAGGGCGAGAGUGGAUUGCAGGCAUAAUCUCAGGGCUAGAUUGUAUACAUCAUAGAGUUCUCGUAAUCCAGGGAGGCAUUUCUUUUGUUGUUCAUAUUGGAUGGAUAGAGAUAACGAUUAUGGGUUUUUUGAGUGGUUUGACCUUGAGAGUCUCCCACGUGAUGAGGAAGUACUAAGAUUUUUGAUAAGUUAAAAGUAGUCCUUGGAGCAGCAAAUCAAGUUGAUGAAGGAGAAGGACGAACUAAGUGUAGAAAAGAUAGCACAGUUGGAGCAAAAAUGUAAAAACAGAAAAGAUGAUUUGGUAGACUUUAAAGCACAGAACUAAGCUUUGCAAAGUGAGAUUAGUUCAAUGAAGAUGGAAAUGGCUAAGCUGGAUUACAAGGAGAAGCUAGGUUUAACGUGUAUUGUUUGUUUGCUGGCAAUGUUACUUGUAAUGUUUAAUUAGCUUGCAUCUGCUUUUAGGUUGGGAUGUGAACAAUGAAAAUUGACUUAAUGAAAUCAUAAAUUUGUCUAGUUCA